Molecule: ribosomal RNA, 395 nt
Filed under: uncultured bacterium
Lineage: Bacteria
Description: partial 16S ribosomal RNA
Rfam family: Bacterial small subunit ribosomal RNA
Source: RNAcentral
AUACGUAGGGGGCGAGCGUUGUCCGGAAUGAUUGGGCGUAAAGGGCGCGUAGGCGGCGCGGUAAGUCUGGAGUGAAAGUCCUGCUUUCAAGGUGGGAAUUGCUUUGGAUACUGUCGGGCUUGAGUGCAGGAGAGGUAAGUGGAAUUCCCAGUGUAGCGGUGAAAUGCGUAGAGAUUGGGUGGAACACCAGUGGCGAAGGCGACUUACUGGACUGUAACUGACGCUGAGGCGCGAAAGUGUGGGGAGCAAACAGGAUUAGAUACCCUGGUAGUCCACACUGUAAACGAUGAAUGCUAGGUGUAGGGGGUAUCGACCCCUUCUGUGCCGCAGUCAACACAAUAAGCAUUCCGCCUGGGGAGUACGGCCGCAAGGUUGAAACUCAAAUGAAUUGGCGG